CUGUGCGGACUGUGGUGAGCUCAGCCGACUCGCUGUGCACUGGGAGCGCAGGAGUUGAGUGUCCCCCGUUCCGUCUCUGCAGGCGCGAAAGCACAUGUUCCUGUGUGUCUGGUUGUAGAUUUCCUUGUAGAUUUCUGUACACGCGCAUUUGAUUGGUCUGGAUGAACUGCUCCCCCCCCCCCCAAUAUUUGGACUAUUUCAUAAACAUCCUAGAAAAUUGAAGAAAACAAUUCUCACUAAGCACGUGUGCUUGCCAAAGGAUCUGUCAGAAGCCUGCUUUCUGGUGUGUGUGGUCAUUCGGAUCUCCUUGUGGGGAGGCGGGGCCAUCCUUGCCCCACUCAGAGGCUGCUUUGGGGUCGGGGCCUCCAGGAGGUGUCCCAGCUGUGGGUGGCAGUCCUGUCGGGUCCUCGUAUCACCACACUUGGUGUCCCGCUCUGCCUCACAGAAGCAGGACAGGGGUCGCGGACGUAAGGUGGGAGGCAGGCUCCACAUGGGGGCCCCUCCGAGGGGACAGUAAGCCCUGAGCCUGCCUCUGCUCUCCAAGGUGCCCACAUGAUGCCCUUUCUCCAGAACAGAGGGUGAGGACUCUGGGGGCCGUUAUGCACCUGUUGAUGAAACUUUCUGCCAGGAUGUGCCCUUGUCUGUCCCUCUUGUCUCAGACCCCUGAGGGCCUUUCCUGCCAUGAUGUGCAGGGGUCCCAGCCAAGAGUGAAAGGAGAGCCGGAGUCCCACCUGGGGUCAGCGGACAUGGAGCAUGUCCCAGACCACAGAGAGGUGGGCCGAGAGGCUGGCACUUUGACCUACAAACCAGCAGGUAUUAGCUCAGAUUCAGGUUCUGGAUUCAGACCUGUGGUGAGGGCAUUUCCAGUGUCUGUCAAACCAUGUUCAGUUUCAGUUGGGACACACAAGGGGUUGUUUGGUCUGUUGAAAAUGUUUGUAGUAGUAGGUUUUUUUCUCUGGUUUUUCUCUCAUUCCAUUUCUGCCUUAACUUUAGCUCCUUGAGGGGAGGCAGGCUCAGAUGGAAACUUUGUCAUCACUUUCAUGGCAGGUUGGCCAGGAGUCAUGUCAUGUCGCCAAGGCUCGCCACGUGCCAUGGAGGCAGGCUCAGAUGGAAACUUUGUCAUCACUUUCAUGGCAGGUUGGCCAGGAGUCAUGUCAUGUCGCCAAGGCUCGCCACGUGCCAUGGGGGCGGGCUCAAUGCUUCAGGCUCCAUGCCUCUGAGCCAGGCGCCUUCCUGCCGCUCCCGGCUCCAGCACGGACACCCCCGCCUGCCCACCCUUCCUCUUCUCCCUUCUGGUAGACCAUGAUGCCUACCGUUUAGUUACACCUUCUUGAUCUCCUCUCUCUAUUGUCCAUUUUUCCAAAGAAGAGAGAGUGAAGUACUUGGGAGUCUGUAUUUGAAAACCGUCUGAAGGCAUUUUCUAGUUUGGUUUUGGUUUUCUCCUCACAUCCCCAGCUGAAGCACUGAGAUUCUUCCAUUUAAAAACCCAGAACCUGAAACCCUCACUGGUCAACUCCAGUGUGUGUAGGAGGCCCCAGACCUUCGCGGUGUCUUUGAAGCCCAGCCUCCUGGUUUCCGUUUGGGUUUCCUCCAUAGUUGGGAGUUGAGUUUUAUGUUUCCGUGUUUCACGUGUAUCUUGUUCACUGUCGUCGAGGUCGAGCUUCACUGCGGCAGCAGCAGAGCGGAGUGUACAUUCUGAUUUGCUACGUUUAUAUAUAUCUUGAAGCUAAAUGUAUAUAUGAGUAGUUUGCCAUGAGAUAACACAGUGUAAACAGUAGACACCCAGAAAUUGUGACUUCUGUGUUCUCUCCAUUUGAGUAUUUUGUAAUUUUUUUGAAAUAUUUGUGGACAUAAAUAAAACAAGCUACACUACAGCGGCUCGUGUCCUCCGUGGGCUGUAUCAUUUCUGGGGUGAGCAGGGGUUGGCAGUUGUCC
Molecule: long non-coding RNA, 1935 nt
Organism: Bos grunniens (domestic yak)
Lineage: Eukaryota; Metazoa; Chordata; Mammalia; Artiodactyla; Bovidae
Source: Ensembl